GGAGGGGGCAAGCGUUGUUCGGAAUUACUGGGCGUAAAGGGCACGCAGGCGGUCUUGCCAGUCAGGGGUGAAAGCCCGAGGCUCAACCUCGGAACUGCCUCUGAUACUGUAAGACUUGAGACUAGGAGAGGGUGGUGGAAUUCCCAGUGUAGAGGUGAAAUUCGUAGAUAUUUGGAAGAACACCAGUGCGAAGGCGGCUUACUGGACCGGUAUUGACGCUGAUGUGCGAAAGCGUGGGGAGCGAACAGGAUUAGAUACCCUGGUAGUCCACGCCGUAAACGUAGAGUGCUAGUUGUCGGGGUUCGCCUCGGUGACGCAGCUAACGCGUUAAGCACUCCGCCUGGGGAGUACGCGCGCAAGGUUAAAACUCAAAGGAAUUGACGGGGG
This 387-nucleotide ribosomal RNA is filed under the name unidentified marine eubacterium. RNAcentral describes it as "bacterial SSU rRNA". It matches the Rfam family "Bacterial small subunit ribosomal RNA", at positions 527 to 919 of the family's 1533-position model. The record is from RNAcentral.